This 276-nucleotide ribosomal RNA is filed under the name uncultured Anaerococcus sp. RNAcentral's name for it is "partial 16S ribosomal RNA". It matches the Rfam family "Bacterial small subunit ribosomal RNA", at positions 505 to 785 of the family's 1533-position model. Lineage: Bacteria; Bacillati; Bacillota; Tissierellia; Tissierellales; Peptoniphilaceae. The record is from RNAcentral.
GUAAAGCCAGCAGCCGCGGUAAUACGUAAACCGAGCGUUUCCGGAAUCAUUUGCCGGGCGUAAAGGGUACGUAGGGGGUUUUUAAUUAGAAGUCAAAGGCUAUAGCUCAACUAUAGUUUGCAAGCUUCUAAAACUGGACCUUGAGGAUGGAAGGGAAAGUGGAAUUCCUAGUGUAGCGGUGGAAUGCGCAGAAUUAGAGGAUACCGGUGGCGAAGGCGACUUUCUGGCCAUUUUCUGACGCUGAGGUAGAACGUGGUAGCAAACAGGAUUAGAUAC